AAAUGAAUAGACGGGGACCCGCACAAGCGGUGGAGCAUGUGGUUUAAUUCGACGAUAAGCGAAGAACCUCACCAAGGUUUGACAUCUAGCUGCAAGGCCUGGAAACAGGUCCGCCUUCGAGGGUGCUAGACAGAUGCUGCAUGGUUGUCGUCAGCUCGUGUCGUGAGAUGUACCGUUUAGUCGGAAAACGAGCGCAACCCUGUUCUUAUGUUUCAUGUGUCAUAAGAGACUGCCCGUUUUAAAUGGGAGGAAGGUGGGAUGACGUCAAAUCAGCAUGGUUCUUACACCUUGGGCAACACACGUGCUACAAUGGGAGGUACAAAGGGACGCCAAAUCGCAAGAUGGAGCAAAUCCCUAAAAACCUCUCUCAGUUCGGAUUGAGGUCUGCAAUUCGACCUCAUGAAGUUGGAAUCGCUAGUAAUCGUGGAUCAGCUAUGCCACGGUGAAUACGUUCUCGGGUCUUGUACACACCGCCCGU
Molecule: ribosomal RNA, 478 nt
Filed under: uncultured bacterium
Lineage: Bacteria
Description: bacterial SSU rRNA
Rfam family: Bacterial small subunit ribosomal RNA
Source: RNAcentral